AUUUCCCUUUGUUUGCCCCAAGCAGAUAUCUAGUCAUAAAGCUUCCACAUUUUCCUCGUCACACUCCACAUGCCUAAGAUUUGACUUUAACUCAUGGUUGACAUACAAACAUACCCCACCACCCUUCUUGCUUGUCCUAUCCUUCCUAAAUAACGUGUACCCAUUUAAAGGACCACUAUAGGCAACCAGACCACUUCAUCUCAAUGAAGUGGUCUGGGUUCCAGGUCCAGCUAGGAUCAACC
Pelobates cultripes (western spadefoot toad) is the source of this 242-nucleotide non-coding RNA. Lineage: Eukaryota; Metazoa; Chordata; Amphibia; Anura; Pelobatidae. The record is from the annotation of a GenBank genome assembly.